GGAGAGAUGCAGGAGUGGUUGAACUGGCACGCCUGGAGAGCGUGUGUACGGGAAACCGUACCGUGGGUUCGAAUCCCACUCUCUCCG
RNAcentral lists this transfer RNA (87 nucleotides) under Bacteroidota bacterium. Its description in RNAcentral is "Bacteroidetes bacterium (wastewater metagenome) tRNA-Ser". It matches the Rfam family "tRNA". Rfam says of the family: Transfer RNA (tRNA) molecules are approximately 80 nucleotides in length. Their secondary structure includes four short double-helical elements and three loops (D, anti-codon, and T loops). Lineage: Bacteria; Pseudomonadati; Bacteroidota. The record is from RNAcentral. RNAcentral also lists the same sequence under 1 other name.